RNAcentral lists this ribosomal RNA (503 nucleotides) under uncultured Glomeromycotina. Its description in RNAcentral is "partial small subunit ribosomal RNA". It matches the Rfam family "Eukaryotic small subunit ribosomal RNA", at positions 591 to 1092 of the family's 1831-position model. The record is from RNAcentral. Lineage: Eukaryota; Fungi; Glomeromycota.
CCAAUAGCGUAUAUUAAAGUUGUUGCAGUUAAAAAGCUCGUAGUUGAAUUUCGGGGUCUAUCCGUUGGUCGGGCUUUUGGGUCCGUACUGGCGUUAUGGAUUCCUACCUUCUGAAUAACCGGCAUGCUAUUAAUUUGGUGCGCUGGGGAAGCAGGACUGUUACCUUGAAAAAAUUAGAGUGCUUAAAGCAGGCUAUUUCCUGAAUACAUUAGCAUGGAAUAAUGAAAUAGGACGGCAUGGUUCUAUUUUGUUGGUUUCUAGGAUCACCGUAAUGAUUAAUAGGGAUAGUUGGGGGGCAUUAGUAUUCAAUUGUCAGAGGUGAAAUUCUUGGAUUUAUUGAAGACUAACUUCUGCGAAAGCAUUUGCCAAGGAUGUUUUCAUUAAUCAAGAACGAAAGUUAGGGGAUCGAAGACGAUCAGAUACCGUCGUAGUCUUAACCAUAAACUAUGCCGACUAGGGAUCGGACGAUGUUAAUUUUUUAAUGACUCGUUCGGCGCCUUACG